GACGAACGCUGGCGGCGUGCUUAACACAUGCAAGUCGAACGGAAAGGCCCUGCGUUUGUGGGGUGCUCGAGUGGCGAACGGGUGAGUAACACGUGAGUAACCUGCCCUUGACUUUGGGAUAACUUCAGGAAACUGGGGCUAAUACCGGAUAGGAGCUCCUGCUGCAUGGUGGGGGUUGGAAAGUUUCGGCGGUUGGGGAUGGACUCGCGGCUUAUCAGCUUGUUGGUGGGGUAGUGGCUUACCAAGGCUUUGACGGGUAGCCGGCCUGAGAGGGUGACCGGCCACAUUGGGACUGAGAUACGGCCCAGACUCCUACGGGAGGCAGCAGUGGGGAAUCUUGCACAAUGGGCGGAAGCCUGAUGCAGCAACGCCGCGUGCGGGAUGACGGCCUUCGGGUUGUAAACCGCUUUCGCCUGUGACGAAGCGUGAGUGACGGUAAUGGGUAAAGAAGCACCGGCUAACUACGUG
This 468-nucleotide ribosomal RNA is filed under the name uncultured bacterium. RNAcentral's name for it is "partial 16S ribosomal RNA". It matches the Rfam family "Bacterial small subunit ribosomal RNA", at positions 28 to 507 of the family's 1533-position model. The record is from RNAcentral.